This 510-nucleotide ribosomal RNA is filed under the name uncultured bacterium. Its description in RNAcentral is "partial 16S ribosomal RNA". It matches the Rfam family "Bacterial small subunit ribosomal RNA", at positions 28 to 507 of the family's 1533-position model. The record is from RNAcentral.
GACGAACGCUGGCGGCGUGCUUAACACAUGCAAGUCGAACGAAGAGCGAUGGAAGCUUGCUUCUAUCAAUCUUAGUGGCGAACGGGUGAGUAACGCGUAAUCAACCUGCCCUUCAGAGGGGGACAACAGUUGGAAACGACUGCUAAUACCGCAUACGAUCUAAUCUCGGCAUCGAGGAUAGAUGAAAGGUGGCCUCUACAUGUAAGCUAUCACUGAAGGAGGGGAUUGCGUCUGAUUAGCUAGUUGGAGGGGUAACGGCCCACCAAGGCGAUGAUCAGUAGCCGGUCUGAGAGGAUGAACGGCCACAUUGGGACUGAGACGCGGCCCAGACUCCUACGGGAGGCAGCAGUGGGGAAUCUUCCGCAAUAGACGAAAGUCUGACGGAGCAACGCCGCGUGAGUGAUGACGGCCUUCGGGUUGUAAAGCUCUGUUAAUCGGGACGAAAGGCCUUCUUGCGAAUAGUGAGAAGGAUUGACGGUACCGGAAUAGAAAGCCACGGCUAACUACGUG